This is a long non-coding RNA of Clupea harengus (Atlantic herring), 1840 nucleotides long. NCBI's taxonomy places the organism in Eukaryota, Metazoa, Chordata, Actinopteri, Clupeiformes, Clupeidae. The record is from Ensembl.
ACAUGACUGCAAGGAAAGUUUAACAUAGAACACCACCCCUCCACUGUACACUGUGACCAAGUGUCCCAACCAUAUUAUGUAAAUGCAACUUAGGCUAGAAACGCAUAACCUAAUAGUUUAGUUACUGGCUACUAUACCGUCAGAGCACUGGCAUACUUCAUUUGACCAGUAGUUCGUUAGUUAUGGUUAGUUUUCGUUCUUAAACCGCGCCCCCCUUAACGUAACUCUGCAGCCGAUCGUUACAAAUAAUUAUUCAGAACUGCUAUAACCGUAGUUCGGCUCUGCUAAUCGUUUUGUUAGAAACAUCAGUUUCUCAUCUCAUCUGGAUACUUUGGGUAAGUGUUUGCUGUAAAUGUCCUAAAUCAGAAGUUUUCUGUGUACAUUUUAUGUAAACGGCUCAGUAGGCAAGGGGGUUUCACUUUCUAAUCGUGUAAUUUCCGUCUUAGAAUUUCACUCGAUUUUGGGCGAUUUUCUCGUCAAAGGUCCUCCUAUUAACUUUCAGUCUGUCUGCUCGGGUUUACGACCGUACACUGUAAAAUUUGAUAAGUUGAUCUUACUUAAAGGAAUUUAGGAAACCGGUUGCCUUGAACAAGUUAAGUAAAUUAAACUAGAACUUCCAAGUUAGGUGUACUCUAUGUCUACUAUUUAUGUUUACUUAAAAACAUUGUUGUAGUCACUCAAUUUAUUUGAGUUCAUACUACAUUAAAAUGCAUGUUAAUGUAAAUUUUAAUUUCUAAGUGUUAGCUACUCAUACAACCCAAGUUAAUGUGCUACCCCUGGUUGCCAGAUGAGAUGCACCUGGCCAGGUGAUCAAGCAGGAGUUAAAGACUCCAGUUUCCUGCUGCAGGAGAGAGGCUUCUAGCUUGGGGACUGCUGGUCUUGCUGCCACUCAGCCUGGGAUUUUGUUCUACAGCUAUUUUUUUAAUAUGGUUGUCUUGUAGUAGUUGUAUUUGUUUUAUAUUAAUAAAUCCCACGGAUUUGGUACUUUUAAAAAGGUGUUUUUAGUAGUUAAUUUGGGUCAGUGGUGGAGUGUCUGUUCGCCCCAUAGUGCCACCAAAGGUUGGGGACCCUAAGUAGCAUCAUAUUCUUUUGCAUCACAUCGUAUAAGAUUGAAUCACAAUAGGGGUGAAUUGUAUAGUAUGGCAUUAGCAGUUUAUCAUAUGUAUCCUUAAUGCUUCAGAUCAUUCGUCCAGAUGUGUAUUGCAACCUCGUUCUCGAAGCUCAGUGAUGGAGAUGCACAUGCCUAGUUCCAACUGUGCCUGGUCUCCCCUAGUGAUCACUAGCACCCGGGUUCCCAUAGAAAGAUGUGAGGGUUAAAUACCAGGAACGGAGGCAAUCACAUCUCUCUGCAUGCUGCCCUUGGAAUAUAUAUGGCCUACAUGUUGCCUCCGACACACAAGGUUUUUUAAUGUUGUAUUGCAUAUUAUCCACAACAGCAAAUCCCAGGGGAAAAUAGUGUGAGAUCGUGACGCACUCACACAUCUCGUUUUAUUGAGCAUGAGUAGAUUAUGAAUUAUGGCACUUUCACUGUUAUUGCCCAUCCCACCAUGGAGACGUCCAGGAGGAAUAUGAUCUGAUGACCCUCAGAGCUCAUCCUUUGCCAACUUUGCACCAGGGUUGACUAUAAGCAACGGCAUUAAGGCGAGCUUUUGCAACCCUGCUCAUCGGGUAGCCUACCUUGAGUUUGUAACGACAGGUCAACGGGUUUGUAUCCGAUUAAGGCAGCUUAGCCCUUUGCAAUGAUUGCUGUUACAACCCUGGUCAAUACGGGCGCAUUAUUUUUGGGUCGGGUUUAAAGUAACAUGACAUAUAACAUAUUAACAUGAUUCUGAUUUGAGCC